GACGAACCGUGCGAACGUUAUUCGGAAUCACUGGGCUUAAAGCGCGUGUAGGCGGGCGGGUACGUCGGCGACUGAAAGCCCCCGGCUCAACCGGGGAAGGGGUGCCGAAACGGCCGGCCUGGAGGGGCGUAGGGGGACCUGGAACUUCCGGUGGAGCGGUGAAAUGCGUUGAGAUCGGAAGGAACGCCCGUGGCGAAAGCGAGGUCCUGGACGCCAUCUGACGCUGAGACGCGAAAGCCGGGGGAGCGAACGGG
Molecule: ribosomal RNA, 254 nt
Filed under: uncultured bacterium
Lineage: Bacteria
Description: partial 16S ribosomal RNA
Rfam family: Bacterial small subunit ribosomal RNA
Source: RNAcentral